This 451-nucleotide ribosomal RNA is filed under the name uncultured bacterium. RNAcentral describes it as "partial 16S ribosomal RNA". It matches the Rfam family "Bacterial small subunit ribosomal RNA", at positions 29 to 523 of the family's 1533-position model. The record is from RNAcentral.
AACGAACGCUGGCGGCAUGCCUAACACAUGCAAGUCGAACGAUGGUCUUCGGAUCAUAGUGGCGCACGGGUGCGUAACGCGUGGGAAUCUGCCCUUAGGUUCGGGAUAACAGUUGGAAACGACUGCUAAUACCGGAUGAUAUCGCGAGAUCAAAGAUUUAUCGCCUAGGGAUGAGCCCGCGUCGGAUUAGCUAGUUGGUGGGGUAAAGGCCUACCAAGGCGACGAUCCGUAGCUGGUCUGAGAGGAUGAUCAGCCACACUGGGACUGAGACACGGCCCAGACUCCUACGGGAGGCAGCAGUGGGGAAUAUUGGACAAUGGGCGCAAGCCUGAUCCAGCAAUGCCGCGUGAGUGAUGAAGGCCUUAGGGUUGUAAAGCUCUUUUACCCGGGAUGAUAAUGACAGUACCGGGAGAAUAAGCCCCGGCUAACUCCGUGCCAGCAGCCGCGGUAA